UACCAGCUCUCCGAGUGGUGUGGAUGUUUAUUGGGCCUAAAGCAUCCGUAGCUGGCUGGACAAGUCCCCUGUUAAAUCCACCGAUUUAAUCGUUGGUGUGCGGGGGAUACUGUUCGGCUAGGGGACGGGAGAGGCCGACGGUAUUUCCGGGGUAGGGGUGAAAUCCUAUAAUCCCGGGAAGACCACCAGUGGCGAAGGCUGUCGGCUAGAACGCGCCCGACGGUGAGGGAUGAAAGCUGGGGGGAGCGAACCGGAUUAGAUACCCGGGUAGUCCCAGCUGUAAACGAUGCAGGCUAGGUGUUUGGGCGGCCACGUGCCGCUCUAGUGCCGCAAGGAAGCUGUUAAGCCUGCCGCCUGGGGAGUACGGCCGCAAGGCUGAAACUUAAAGGAAUUGGCGGGGAGCACCACAAGGGGUGAAGCUUGCGGUUU
This 429-nucleotide ribosomal RNA is filed under the name uncultured archaeon. RNAcentral describes it as "bacterial SSU rRNA". It matches the Rfam family "Archaeal small subunit ribosomal RNA", at positions 474 to 903 of the family's 1478-position model. The record is from RNAcentral.